This is a long non-coding RNA of Drosophila navojoa, 310 nucleotides long. NCBI's taxonomy places the organism in Eukaryota, Metazoa, Arthropoda, Insecta, Diptera, Drosophilidae. The record is from RefSeq and is a predicted model, not a curated record.
CGAUGCCGCUUCAGUAGCGGACCAGAUUUCAAGCGUCACGGUUGGUCAGCGCUUAGCUUCGAAUACCUUAGCUAAGGGGAAGCAAGCAGAAAGAGACAGAGACAGAGACAGUAAAAGAUAUUCCUUGAGAGAGCAUCGCGUCAUGCAGUUCCAAUUGUAAAUUCAGAAAGUUGAAAUUGUUUGCUUUUUGUAAGCUAAACAAAAACUCGCACUUAAACACUCAUUUGGCAGCUCAGCUCGUCAAUCGCAGAUGUAGUUCGGAAACUGCAAGCAGCUAAAGGAAAACGGAAUACAACUUAAUAUCCAGAGC